UACGUAGGGCGCAAGCGUUGUCCGGAAUUAUUGGGCGUAAAGAGCUCGUAGGCGGUCUGUCGCGUCCGUUGUGAAAACUCGAGGCUCAACCUCGGGCUUGCAGUGGAUACGGGCAGGACUAGAGUGCGGUAGGGGAGACUGGAAUUCCUGGUGUAGCGGUGAAAUGCGCAGAUAUCAGGAGGAACACCAGUGGCGAAGGCGGCUCACUGGACCGGUUCUGACGCUGAGGCGGCGAAAGCGGUGGGGAGCAAACGGG
Molecule: ribosomal RNA, 256 nt
Filed under: uncultured bacterium
Lineage: Bacteria
Description: partial 16S ribosomal RNA
Rfam family: Bacterial small subunit ribosomal RNA
Source: RNAcentral